Molecule: long non-coding RNA, 1604 nt
Organism: Harmonia axyridis
Lineage: Eukaryota; Metazoa; Arthropoda; Insecta; Coleoptera; Coccinellidae
Exons: 3
Source: RefSeq, a predicted model, not a curated record
ACGCGUUGCGCAUGGCGGAAGUGAAUGUUGUGACGCAUUGUGCGGGGAAAUAGGAGAGGUUAUCAUGCACUUGUUACAAACGCGUUACGGUGUGCAGUUUGGAAUAGACACCCGCGAUUUCUCUGCUGUUUGCCUUGUUCCAAAGACUCAGCACGGUUGGCAAAGUGACCUAAGCUUUCCGUUGUUGUAGUGCUGACAGCUGUUGGUGAUUUACAAUGAACCCUCGAUGCACUCGAAGCACCGUUCGCCGUCGAAGUAAGCAUCUUAACCCCACUCCAAGACCGUGGAUAUGACCACGCAGGUCCGAAUAGAAGGUGGAGGGACCAAAGAUUUUCAUAGCCAACUUGACGCUUCGUAGUUCCUCGCGAGCUGUCUGCUGGGCUCAAGCUUGCUCCUAGUCUGGGUCUUAGAAGAAAGCACACCACCAGUCACCCAACAUGUGCUUCCUUGAUGUGGGGAUGUGCUAUUCACGCCCACUAGGACCAUACGGCACAGUGCUGUUGAUUCUGUUUUAUCGUAAUUGCUCAGUGGUGUUAGUGGUGAACUUUUUGUUGAAUUCAAUCCGGUUUUUAGUUUUUUUUUUCUGGUGACGCAGUACUUGCUUCGAUAUAUCGUUAUGGAAGCACAAACGGAGCGAUUCGAGCAAUCCUUUCCGAAUAGCUUGGUAAGUUUGACAUACUCUCAACACAAUCGUUUUUUUUUACCAUCGUCCCAAAUGACAAUUCAAUUAGUUAGCGAUGAAUUCAGCCAAUUAACCGUAGUUUUCUCGCAUUGGACCAGAAGAAUCUGAUUAAGGUCGAAAUAAAAACCAACGUUCCACUCUGUUCAUAUUCAAGUUACAUCACGUUCACCAUGCUCUAUUUAACAAACCAGUCCUUCUAAAUUUUUUUCCUAGAUAAAUGGGGAACAUAACUUGAAAGCAAAUAAUUGAUAGAUACAAAGAAAGGUGUUCCGAGAAUAAAGGUAUUGUGAUGAGAAGCCACAAGAGUCUAUAAAAAUCUCUCUGUGAGGGACCUAGACGGGUUAUCUUGCCUAAGACCCAUAACUUGUCCCUUGAAAACCAGAUGGUAUAAUUUAAUCACUCACCCUUUUCUUUGGGGUGGUUGAAAAACUACCUGCUUUCAUGUCUCGAGACCACGUUGAAAGAUCUCCCCUGUGAUUUACAUAUUUAGAAUAGUUUUUUAUCCGAUAAAUUAUAACUAAACACCCUGAUUUUCUCUUUUUGAAAUCUCUUCACGCCGUGCCUAAUAUUAGACCGUAUAUAUAUACGAAGCGUUUAAAAUACUUCGUCGUUUCGAAAACUUCCAUAUUGAGACUUAAUUUAUAUCGAAUGUGGUUUCUAUUGGUAGGUGUGUCUUUUUCAUUGUUGUCUAAUUCCCUUCUCUGAACACUUUAUUGGAAACAACUAUUAUUUCGUAAUCCACAAUCUCUCGGCUAUUGUUGCUUCGAAUAUUUUUAUUGAUGAUGCAUAUGACAUCACUGUCACGAAUUCAUCAAUUGUUGAGUCUUCCUUCCAUUAGUCUUAUUCAAUGCUAUUCGAGUGAGAAUAUUCAAUUGAUGGAAGAAAUGACUAUAUUUUCCAAUUAUUCGCUGUUGCAUUUAAC